This 1016-nucleotide ribosomal RNA is filed under the name uncultured bacterium. RNAcentral's name for it is "bacterial SSU rRNA". It matches the Rfam family "Bacterial small subunit ribosomal RNA", at positions 357 to 1376 of the family's 1533-position model. The record is from RNAcentral.
AGGAAUAUUGGUCAAUGGACGAGAGUCUGAACCAGCCAAGUAGCGUGAAGGAUGACUGCCCUAUGGGUUGUAAACUUCUUUUAUACGGGAAUAAAGUGAGGCACGUGUGCCUUUUUGUAUGUACCGUAUGAAUAAGGAUCGGCUAACUCCGUGCCAGCAGCCGCGGUAAUACGGAGGAUCCGAGCGUUAUCCGGAUUUAUUGGGUUUAAAGGGAGCGUAGGCGGACGCUUAAGUCAGUUGUGAAAGUUUGCGGCUCAACCGUAAAAUUGCAGUUGAUACUGGGUGUCUUGAGUACAGUAGAGGCAGGCGGAAUUCGUGGUGUAGCGGUGAAAUGCUUAGAUAUCACGAAGAACUCCGAUUGCGAAGGCAGCUUGCUGGACUGUAACUGACGCUGAUGCUCGAAAGUGUGGGUAUCAAACAGGAUUAGAUACCCUGGUAGUCCACACAGUAAACGAUGAAUACUCGCUGUUUGCGAUAUACAGUAAGCGGCCAAGCGAAAGCGUUAAGUAUUCCACCUGGGGAGUACGCCGGCAACGGUGAAACUCAAAGGAAUUGACGGGGGCCCGCACAAGCGGAGGAACAUGUGGUUUAAUUCGAUGAUACGCGAGGAACCUUACCCGGGCUUGAAUUGCAACUGAAUGAUGUGGAGACAUGUCAGCCGCAAGGCAGUUGUGAAGGUGCUGCAUGGUUGUCGUCAGCUCGUGCCGUGAGGUGUCGGCUUAAGUGCCAUAACGAGCGCAACCCUUGUUGUCAGUUACUAACAGGUGAUGCUGAGGACUCUGACAAGACUGCCAUCGUAAGAUGUGAGGAAGGUGGGGAUGACGUCAAAUCAGCACGGCCCUUACGUCCGGGGCUACACACGUGUUACAAUGGGGGGUACAGAGGGCCGCUACCACGCGAGUGGAUGCCAAUCCCUAAAACCCCUCUCAGUUCGGACUGGAGUCUGCAACCCGACUCCACGAAGCUGGAUUCGCUAGUAAUCGCGCAUCAGCCACGGCGCGGUGAAUACGUUCCCG